This 348-nucleotide long non-coding RNA is filed under the name Homo sapiens (human). RNAcentral's name for it is "non-protein coding lnc-CLIC6-5:1". The record is from RNAcentral. Lineage: Eukaryota; Metazoa; Chordata; Mammalia; Primates; Hominidae.
GGGAAACAGAGACAUUCAACUUUCGGGCUCACAAGAGAGGCGACCUAAAGAGUGGGUUAUUGGAUGUCUUCUGGCAGGUGCUACAGGAUUAAGAAGGUAGCUGGUCAGAAACAAACUUUGAAUUAGGGGGAUUUUUUAAAAAAUAGUUGACUAAAGUAAAUAUGAUCGUUAGCUUAAUCCUCCAUAUCUAACGUGAGAUUCAAAUUUAAUAGGCAAGUUUAAAAAUCGGCUGGCAUGUGCAUCUAUUAUUUGUGUAUGUGUCUGGAUGCCUUGCUCCAAGAGUACAGGUUAGUUGUCCGUGAUGAAAUUUCCAAGACCUUCCUGUUUAUCAGGCCCAGCAGUCCAAAA